This 71-nucleotide transfer RNA is filed under the name Sphingopyxis sp. H115. RNAcentral describes it as "tRNA-OTHER". The record is from RNAcentral. Lineage: Bacteria; Pseudomonadati; Pseudomonadota; Alphaproteobacteria; Sphingomonadales; Sphingopyxidaceae.
GCCGGCGGGACUACAGGGUCAGAGCGUCCGCUUCGUCGCGGAAGGCCGGCGGUUCAAGUCCGCCCCCGGCA